Molecule: long non-coding RNA, 1999 nt
Filed under: Malus domestica (apple)
Lineage: Eukaryota; Viridiplantae; Streptophyta; Magnoliopsida; Rosales; Rosaceae
Description: long non-coding RNA (MDOM_LNC014954)
Source: RNAcentral
AGACUUAGCAGUUUGACUAACGGAUGUAUGAGACUGUCCCAAAAUUUACACUUUAGAUAUGACUCUGAGACAAAAAAAACUUGAUGUACUAAAUAUUGAAAACCAUGAAACAUGAGGGUAGUAAACAGUCUUUUGCCUAAAAAUUAAUUAAUAAACUAAACCCACAAAUUUCCCUUAUCCACAAGGGAAAAAAAAAGCAAUGAGUUUGUAGUUUAGUUAGUUAAAGCACUCAUUCUUAUAUCUAAGGACUCAAGUUUGAUUUUUCCCUCCCACUUGCAUUAAACAAAGCAAAAAAUUACACAAGAAAAUAGAAGAAAGCAAAUUAAUAAUUUUAGAAAAAUAGUGGCCAGGGAGAGGGGGGAAUCAAGACGACGCUCAAUUAACCUUCCUUUACUUAUUUAUUGCCCAUCUUUACAAUAUAUACACCAUUAAGAAAACUAUAUUUGUACGCUAUAAGUGAUCCAUAUACCAACAUUCAAUAACGUAAAGUCAUUUUUCUGCAUGACCUGUACAUAUUCCUUGCCAUAGACAUUCACCACAAGAAAACAUAGAUUAGGUAACAAUUUUUUUGUGGUGCAUAAAAGUUCAUCACAUUUGGGUAAAAUAAGUGAGUUUUUUAGAAAUUGUCACAUAAGAAUUUUUUCGGACACCAAAAUAUUUUGCAUCACAUAAACAUUUUAGAUUCUCCACAAACUAUUGGGCGAGAAAUUUUACAACCGAAUAUGUGAUGAAAGUUUAACAUUCACCAAAUAACAUAAGAGAAGGUCAACUGCUAGGCAAUUCAUCAAUAUAGUAUUAAAACUAAAAAAUAUUGAAACAAUAAUAUCAAAACCCCCUAAUUGUAAAGCCUAUGUCAUUAUGUUCUCACCCCGUCCCGUCUUUAGCUCCCUUUCGUUCCACUCUCGCAUUGCGACUCAGAUGACCAGCCACCUGGUGGUUGCCACCUACAGGGACCACCACCUAUUAUUCGUCUCCCUUCCUCAGGCAAUCUCUCUCACCCUCUGGUGCUCGUUCUCUAACUCUCACCUCUCUUUGACAUAACAAGACCCAAAUUGAGGAAAGAGAAAUUCAGUUUUUGUAUCGAGUUCUUAAGUCGACAACGAGGUCCUUAUUUGUUUCUUAUAUUCUUUAUUUAUUUAUUUUUAAUUUUCAUCUUCGAUCAGUUCUUUGCUUGAAAAAACUUAGACACCCAAUUAUCAAUUUCUUUUCUCUUCAGACUGAAUAAUGAUUGUUAUUCUUCUAUUUUCUCUUUUAAAUUUGUAGGUUAUUGGCAUUUGUGAACAACAUUUGAUUUGUUAUAAUUCUAUUAUUAUUUACUGAUUUAAUUAGUCCAAUGACCUAACAUUGGAAACUAAGCCAAAAGCUUUUGUUGGGAGGGAUAUAUAGGAAGCUGAAAUUGGUAAAUUGAUUGAACAUCUACAAUUUAGUUAGUCAGCUUUUAAAAUUUCUAUGUUAUGCUUUCAUGUAAUUAUGCUCUGAUGCAGAUUUACUUUUGUAUAUACAUAUAUGAAAUUCUUCUACUUUCAAUAUUUUUAGGAUUAAAGGUGCUCAAGCUUGAGAAUUAUUAAGUACAAGAAAAAAAUUUCAAGUCAAGUCAGUAUGUUGUCCUUAAUAUAUGCAAUUUACAAUGACAUAGUAUUCAUGCUACCUCUAGUCAAAAUUAUUAUUGCAUCUGAAUAGUAAUGAUGAGCAUGUAAAUGCUGAAAGCAUUCUGGUUUUUCUAUUAGAUUAUUGCAAAUUUUAGCACCUAGCAUGUUCUAUGUGACUUCAAUAUUUUCUAGUACGUUUAUUUUAGCAACUAGUUGCUCUUGAGCUAGAGAUAUGUGAAUUUUUUUAAAUUGAGUUUCUUGAUGUUUUUUGUUGUUAUGUUAUAUGUUUGUCUUAAUAAUUUUACGUAUAUUCUAUUAUGGCAGUUUAUUGAAAUAUGUCUAAGUGUGCAGCUCAAUACUAGGACUGAAGUAACCAGACUUCAUGCAUAGACGAUGGAUUAGUAGUUGGG